UACGUAGGGAGCAAGCGUUGUCCGGAAUUACUGGGCGUAAAGAGCUCGUAGGUGGUUUGUCGCGUUGUUCGUGAAAACCGGAGGCUUAACCUUCGGCGUGCGGGCGAUACGGGCAGACUGGAGUACUGCAGGGGAGACUGGAAUUCCUGGUGUAGCGGUGGAAUGCGCAGAUAUCAGGAGGAACACCGGUGGCGAAGGCGGGUCUCUGGGCAGUAACUGACGCUGAGGAGCGAAAGCGUGGGGAGCGAACAGG
Molecule: ribosomal RNA, 253 nt
Filed under: uncultured bacterium
Lineage: Bacteria
Description: partial 16S ribosomal RNA
Rfam family: Bacterial small subunit ribosomal RNA
Source: RNAcentral